Molecule: ribosomal RNA, 253 nt
Filed under: uncultured bacterium
Lineage: Bacteria
Also listed under: 1 other name
Description: partial 16S ribosomal RNA
Rfam family: Bacterial small subunit ribosomal RNA
Source: RNAcentral
UACGGAGGAUGCAAGCGUUAUCCGGAAUUAUUGGGCGUAAAGCGUCCGCAGGUGGCACUUCAAGUCUGUCGUCAAAGACCGGGGCUUAACCCUGGAAAGGCGAUGGAAACUGAAAGGCUAGAGAGAGGUAGGGGUAGAGGGAAUUCCCAGUGUAGCGGUGAAAUGCGUAGAGAUUGGGAAGAACAUCGGUGGCGAAAGCGCUCUACUGGACCUCAUCUGACACUCAGGGACGAAAGCUAGGGGAGCGAAUGGG